Molecule: long non-coding RNA, 1173 nt
Organism: Oncorhynchus tshawytscha (Chinook salmon)
Lineage: Eukaryota; Metazoa; Chordata; Actinopteri; Salmoniformes; Salmonidae
Source: Ensembl
GUAAGUGGGGUAUGGGUGCAUCCCAAAAAUAUCUCCUUUCUCCUGAAGUGUCCACCAGGACCAUUCACACAGUUCAGUCACUCAGCCAUAUCCAGUGGACAUGAUGCUAUAAAGGUCCUGCACUACCACCUCCUACAACAUCCUGAUGAGAAGCAUUAACCCUAGCCCCAUGACUGAUACAUCAGAGGAAGUUGUCUUGCUGUUGGCACCAAUUCCAUCCUACUAAACUUUGUUCUCUCUUGUUCAACUGCCCAAUUGCCCAAUGUUUAAAUUUGCUUCAAAUAUGUUUUUUACUGAAGGGUGACAGAUGACACUUGUAUGGAGGGCUGUGGGUGUGGGGGAGAGAAUGGAUGUAGAUGGGUUUGGUUGAAGAAACUCCCUCUCCCCUACCUCCCUUCCUUCUCUUGAUAGGGAAUAAAAGUGAAUGUUAUUGCUGCAUUUUACCUGUGACCCCAAAUCAACUAUUUUAUGAGUCACAAGCUAAGACAAAAACACACAUAUAUAUAUAUAUAUAUAUAUAUAUUACUUUAUUUACACAUCUAUUCACUACUGGCCAAAUGCAGUCACCUAUCUCUUCAGACAGCAUUUCCAGUUUUUAGGACUGUUUAAAAAAUCUAAGGUAAACCACUUUAUAUUUGCCAUAAUAAUAAUAUUCGGGAAUCAAACCCACCCACCAGGCAUUACAAGCACCAUAAUCUACCAACUGAACAACAAUGGACCACUUUGGAUUAAGCUUAAAAAAUGUGAUAGACUGUAUUAUUAUGCUUAUGUGUUGGUACUGUAUGUACAAUGAGGAAUCGAAUAUUCUUCAAUCUGUCAUGGGUUGAAGUUACCACUAUUAACUAUUAAUCCUGUGCCAAGUCUCAUAUAUGGCUGAAUUGUAGUGUAUUUAAAGAAUAUGCCUUGUGUUGUACAAUUCUUAUACUCUAGAUGGCAGUAACGUGCUACCACCUUCAAAGAGGUCUGUAAGAGUUUUUCUAUUCGCCCUUCAAGUACUGAGCAAAUGUCCAAAUUAAUGAAUUCUCUGAAUUUGCAUUGCGAAUGUUGCUUUUAUUGAUACUAGAUAUGACUGGUUGUGAUCCAGUCCCAUAUGGAACAUGUGACAUGCAAAGUUCAAUUGGGUAAUGUCACACAUUUUUAGCAAAAAAAAAACGCUGUUUUUUUUUUUGGGGG